RNAcentral lists this long non-coding RNA (285 nucleotides) under Gossypium barbadense (sea-island cotton). Its description in RNAcentral is "long non-coding RNA (GBAR_LNC011693)". Lineage: Eukaryota; Viridiplantae; Streptophyta; Magnoliopsida; Malvales; Malvaceae. The record is from RNAcentral.
CCAUGAAGAUUGAGACAAAUCUCAACAAUUUGAAACUGAUUCACCAGGUUCUACCACUACAGGAUUGGGGAUUUCAUGCAUGGAAUCUGUAAGGCAGGCUUUUACCAGUAGCUGGAGCAGGUGGUGGACGGCAGAUGCACCGGUGGCUAGGGCAGGCAGUGGACAGCAGAUGCACCCGUGGCUUGGGCAGGCAGUGGACAACAGAUGCACCAGUGGCUGGGGCAGGCAGUGGACGGCAGAUGCAAUAGGUUUGCUUUGGCCAACAGAGUUUGGAGUGAGAAUAAG